Molecule: ribosomal RNA, 463 nt
Filed under: uncultured bacterium
Lineage: Bacteria
Description: bacterial SSU rRNA
Rfam family: Bacterial small subunit ribosomal RNA
Source: RNAcentral
CCAGACUCCUACGGGAGGCAGCAGUAGGGAAUCUUGCACAAUGGGGGAAACCCUGAUGCAGCGACGCCGCGUGAGCGAUGAAGCCCUUCGGGGUGUAAAGCUCUUUCGGCAGGGAAGAUGGUGACGGUACCUGCAGAAGCAGCUGCGGCUAACUACGUGCCAGCAGCCGCGGUAAUACGUAGGCAGCAAGCGUUGUUCGGAGUUACUGGGCGUAAAGGGUGUGUAGGCGGUUGUUUAAGUUUGGUGUGAAAUCUCCCGGCUCAACUGGGAGGGUGCGCCGAAUACUGAAUGACUAGAGUGCGGGAGAGGAAAGUGGAAUUCCUGGUGUAGCGGUGAAAUGCGUAGAUAUCAGGAGGAACACCGGUGGUGUAGACGGCUUUCUGGACCGUAACUGACGCUGAGACACGAAAGCGUGGGUAGCAAACAGGAUUAGAUACCCUGGUAGUCCACGCCGUAAACGAUG